Molecule: long non-coding RNA, 1198 nt
Organism: Oncorhynchus tshawytscha (Chinook salmon)
Lineage: Eukaryota; Metazoa; Chordata; Actinopteri; Salmoniformes; Salmonidae
Source: Ensembl
CCUAGCCACCGUGCUUCUACACCUGCAUUGCUUGCUGUUUGGGGUUUUAGGCUGGGUUUCUGUACAGCACUUUGAGAUAUCAGCUGAUGUACGAAGGGCUAUAUAAAUAAAUUUGAUUUGACAGUUUAAGACACAUUUUAUUUGCCUUAAUUACUCAAAUAUAGACCCAGCUUUCAUUUGACAUACUCCUAUGAACUUCACGUUGGUGCUUGUGGCUCCUUUUACCUAAUGUGAAAAGGCUACUUCUAGGCAGGAAGCCUUGUUCUAUAGUAAGUGAACAGGGCCAGGACUUGGAAGGCUAGGUCCUGACUGACAAGUAUUACAUCACUUUGGGUCCAAGGCUGCAGUGGCCUAGUUUCACAGUACUGUCAAGGGGUUAACACCUAGUGACGUUCCACACACACACACACUCAACACAGACACACACCAGAACGUGACCAUGUCCAACAGACAGGAAUAACAGCAGGUGACCAUGUCCGACGGACAGGAAUAACAGCAGGUGACCAUGUCCGACGGACAGGAAUAACAGCAGGUGACCAUGUCCGACGGACAGGAAUAACAGCAAGUGACCAUGUCCGACGGACAGGAAUAACAGAAAGUGACCAUGUCCGGCAGACAGGAAUAACAGCAGGUGACCAUGUCCGACGGACAGGAAUAACAGCAGGUGACCAUGUCCGACGGACAGGAAUAACAGCAGGUGACCAUGUCCGACAGACAGAUGGACAGGAAUAACAGCAGGUGAUAAUGCCUGCAAAAAUGCUGCUCUGGUCUUCUACUCCCCCUCAUCCACUUCUUAAAACACUAGGUUCCACGAAGACAAGGAAAUAACAUAUAGGUGGUUGAAUGGACAUAUACGUAGGUACAUGUCAACAUUAUCAUAUAGGUGGUUGAACGGAGUUCUACCUGUGUGUACAUGUUCAUAUGCAAGUUUGUCAGUGUGCACCUGUGUACAGAAUGUGUGUGUGCGCGCGUAUACACAGUACGCAUGUCUAGUGUGUGCAUAUUCCUACCUCCCAGGUCCUUCUCCUCCUCCUCCAGCUCCUCUUUAAGUUCCUGUAGUUUGCCCAGAGGGUGCAGAGCGGGCACCGUCACCCCUGGGAUCUGGGGCAGGCAGCAUGGAGGAGUCCGGGCAAUGGGAGAGUUCCGACAGUCCAGCAGGAACUUCCUGUCGUAGAUGAUGCGUGUUCCUGUCGGGGGG